GAUGAACGCUGGCGGCGUGCCUAAUACAUGCAAGUCGAGCGAACAGAUGAGGAGCUUGCUCCUCUGACGUUAGCGGCGGACGGGUGAGUAACACGUGGAUAACCUACCUAUAAGACUGGGAUAACUUCGGGAAACCGGAGCUAAUACCGGAUAAUAUAUUGAACCGCAUGGUUCAAUAGUGAAAGACGGUUUUGCUGUCACUUAUAGAUGGAUCCGCGCCGCAUUAGCUAGUUGGUAAGGUAACGGCUUACCAAGGCAACGAUGCGUAGCCGACCUGAGAGGGUGAUCGGCCACACUGGAACUGAGACACGGUCCAGACUCCUACGGGAGGCAGCAGUAGGGAAUCUUCCGCAAUGGGCGAAAGCCUGACGGAGCAACGCCGCGUGAGCGAUGAAGGUCUUCGGAUCGUAAAACCCUGUUAUUAGGGAAGAACAAAUGUGUAAGUAACUAUGCACGUCUUGACGGUACCUAAUCAGAAAGCCACGGCUAACUACGUG
Molecule: ribosomal RNA, 497 nt
Filed under: uncultured bacterium
Lineage: Bacteria
Description: partial 16S ribosomal RNA
Rfam family: Bacterial small subunit ribosomal RNA
Source: RNAcentral